GGCAGUAGCAUAAUGGUGUGAGUGUUGGACUGCAACUCUGGAGGUCAGGGUUCAAUUCUCCACUGAGCCA
Phrynosoma platyrhinos (Desert horned lizard) is the source of this 70-nucleotide non-coding RNA. Lineage: Eukaryota; Metazoa; Chordata; Lepidosauria; Squamata; Phrynosomatidae. The record is from the annotation of a GenBank genome assembly.